Molecule: ribosomal RNA, 71 nt
Filed under: Dioclea burkartii
Lineage: Eukaryota; Viridiplantae; Streptophyta; Magnoliopsida; Fabales; Fabaceae
Description: partial 26S ribosomal RNA
Rfam family: Eukaryotic large subunit ribosomal RNA
Source: RNAcentral
CGAGACCUCAGGUCAGGCGGGGUUACCCGCUGAGUUUAAGCAUAUCAAUAAGCGGAGGAAAAGAAACUAAC